AUGCUGUUUUGAUCCCCUCAAUUUGUAUGUUCAGGCGAUUUUAGUAAUCAUUCUUCAUUAUUCGUUAGAAUUAACAGCGAAAACUUUCUUUUUGUGGAAAUAAACGAAUCAUUGGUUAACAAAGUGAUCAGCCAUAAUUAGUAGCAAAAAGAAUGGGGUGCGGAAUUUCGAACUAGUGGCUGAGAUUGGCACAAUGCACGUUUGUGUACACUGUCCACAAAUUUAAGUGUGCUAAAAUAUGAAAGUAGAUCGGGUCGGUAGUGAUCUUGUAAUUUCGGUUAGUACGAUACUGGCGCACUGUAAAAUGCUGCGGUAUAACCGGCGUGUUCAAUUAGAACAUUAAUUUCACGCGUGCAUACGUUACUUUAAGGUGUAAAAUGGGGUGUAAGUUGGGAAAAUUGGCGGCCAGUAGCACUGGCGGAGCCGGGCUUAAAACCGAAGAGCCCCCACCGCCUGCCCCGACCGAUCCACGUCUACCACUAACCGCGAGACAGAAGUAUACCAUUGUGGCGUCUUGGAAAGGAAUUAGCAGGGCCAUGGAGUCUACUGGAAUGAACAUGUUUCUCAGAUUGAAUGGCGGUAGGAUUAUCCACAGAGGUUUUUUCACGGAAGGUUACUCCCAACAAAUGAACGAUUGCCUCGGCGCCUUUUGACAACAACCCAAAAAAACGUCGAACCCCAAACGUGGUAAGUAUUUCUUCUGCACAGCAGCUUCGCUUUAUAUUUAGAACUUGAUCCAAAACCAAAUUUUCAGGAAAACAUAAACCAUAUAAACCCAAAAAUAAAAUGGACUUGGCAACAAAUCCCUUUUCAAAAAACCGUCUAAUCGAACUCAAAUUUCAAAAAACAACUCUUGUUUGCCAUAAAUUAGCAACAAAUUCUACGGCGUAAUUCGUUUCACCGCAGCCGUCUUUUCGCUUUCGUAGCUAUCAAGGAAGUAUUGGUGCUUAUCUAUUGGAAAUUUUGAGUUCCUUCAAGGAUUUAUAGUGGUAUAAAAUUGAAUA
This is an RNA transcript of Photinus pyralis (common eastern firefly), 1004 nucleotides long. RefSeq lists it as uncharacterized. Lineage: Eukaryota; Metazoa; Arthropoda; Insecta; Coleoptera; Lampyridae. The record is from RefSeq and is a predicted model, not a curated record. The transcript is spliced from 4 exons.